This is a non-coding RNA of Silurus meridionalis, 525 nucleotides long. Lineage: Eukaryota; Metazoa; Chordata; Actinopteri; Siluriformes; Siluridae. The record is from the annotation of a RefSeq genome assembly.
ACAUACAAGUACAGAAAUAAUAUUUUCAUUCAGCUAAAACCAUUGAUCAUGUUCACUGUUAUAUUCAUGUGUCUGUGGCUUUCACUAGGUGACUCCAUUGCAGAUUCAAUAGAGCCACUUUUUACUCAUAAAGCUGUAGAUGAAGGUGAUGAUGUUACUCUGUCCUGCAAAUACAAAACAACCAGUGCUUCAGCAUACAGCACCUACUUACACUGGUACAGACAAUAUCCAAAAUCUACACCUGAGUUCCUUCUUUAUAUUACACAAAGUGGAGAUCUAAGUCAGAACAAACCCCCAAGAAUGUCUGCUACAGUUAAUGGAGAUAAAGUGGAUCUGAUCAUCUCCUCUGCUGCUGUAUCAGACUCUGCUCUAUACUACUGUGCUCUGCAGCCCACAGUGACAGGAAAUCCAGCUGCUCUGUACAAAAACGUACAGUUUUGUUAUGCUGAAAGCAGAGAUACAAGCCUAAGCCAUGACACUACACAAAUUAUUAAUGAACAAAUUAUUUCAUGUUUCCACUGUUAA